RNAcentral lists this long non-coding RNA (514 nucleotides) under Aedes aegypti (yellow fever mosquito). Its description in RNAcentral is "lncRNA AAEL027282". Lineage: Eukaryota; Metazoa; Arthropoda; Insecta; Diptera; Culicidae. The record is from RNAcentral.
ACCCAUUUUCAUGUUAGGGACCAAGAGUGAAAAAUACCCAUUAUCUGAAGUUUAAAGCGAAUACUCUUUACACGGUGGUUUGCGAAUACCCUUUAAUGGGUAAAAAAAUACCCAUUAUCGAAUAGCAAUCAUUUCUGUCAUGAAAUGGGGGAAUUUUGUAAUCAUGGAAAGGGUAACAAUAUACUCAUUCUUUUAACUCGCAUUCAGAGUAAAAACGGGUAAAAUUUUACUCAUUAAUGGGUGAAAAAUUUGUUGGAAACGAAAAAUAAAACAAUUUUGCGCGACCAUCAUCAGCUGACGGAAAAAGCCAUUUAAUUAGAGUUAAUAGUAAUAAUAUCAUUUUCCAGGACGUCAAGUUCCCACAAAUCUUCAACCGAAAAAAUGGACGAACCUAAGCUGGAUGCUGUGAAUGCUGCAUAUGUCUUUUGCAAAGCAAUGUAUUAAAGCAAGUGUUAAUGAUUGAAUUUGAUUAAAUAAAAGCGGCACAAAUAAAUGUUUAGAAUCCAUAAAUUUA